This 21-nucleotide microRNA is filed under the name Sus scrofa (pig). Its description in RNAcentral is "ssc-miR-9793-5p". The record is from miRBase by way of RNAcentral. Lineage: Eukaryota; Metazoa; Chordata; Mammalia; Artiodactyla; Suidae.
CAAUGGGGAAGUCGGAGGAAA